This 75-nucleotide transfer RNA is filed under the name Saccharomyces cerevisiae YJM1307. Its description in RNAcentral is "tRNA-Tyr". It matches the Rfam family "tRNA". From Rfam's summary of the family: Transfer RNA (tRNA) molecules are approximately 80 nucleotides in length. Their secondary structure includes four short double-helical elements and three loops (D, anti-codon, and T loops). Further hydrogen bonds mediate the characteristic L-shaped molecular structure. tRNAs have two regions of fundamental functional importance: the anti-codon, which is responsible for specific mRNA codon recognition, and the 3' end, to which the tRNAs corresponding amino acid is attached (by aminoacyl-tRNA synthetases). tRNAs cope with the degeneracy of the genetic code in two manners: having more than one tRNA (with a specific anti-codon) for a particular amino acid; and 'wobble' base-pairing, i.e. permitting non-standard base-pairing at the 3rd anti-codon position. Lineage: Eukaryota; Fungi; Ascomycota; Saccharomycetes; Saccharomycetales; Saccharomycetaceae. The record is from RNAcentral.
CUCUCGGUAGCCAAGUUGGUUUAAGGGGCAAGACUGUAAAUCUUGAGAUCGGGCGUUCGACUCGCCCCCGGGAGA